Molecule: ribosomal RNA, 254 nt
Filed under: uncultured bacterium
Lineage: Bacteria
Description: partial 16S ribosomal RNA
Rfam family: Bacterial small subunit ribosomal RNA
Source: RNAcentral
CACGUAGGGUGCAAGCGUUGUCCGGAAUCAUUGGGCGUAAAGAGCUCGUAGGCGGCUCAGUAAGUCGGAUGUGAAAACUCGGGGCUCAACCCCGAGACGCCAUCCGAUACUGCUGUGGCUUGAGUCUGGUAGGGGAACACGGAAUUCCUGGUGUAGCGGUGAAAUGCGCAGAUAUCAGGAGGAACACCGGUGGCGAAGGCGGGUCUCUGGGCCGGUACUGACGCUGAGGAGCGAAAGCGUGGGGAGCGAACAGG